RNAcentral lists this ribosomal RNA (253 nucleotides) under uncultured bacterium. Its description in RNAcentral is "partial 16S ribosomal RNA". It matches the Rfam family "Bacterial small subunit ribosomal RNA", at positions 524 to 776 of the family's 1533-position model. The record is from RNAcentral.
UACAGAGGUCUCAAGCGUUGUUCGGAUUCAUUGGGCGUAAAGGGUGCGUAGGCGGCGCGGUAAGUCGGGUGUGAAAUCUCGGAGCUUAACUCCGAAACUGCAUUCGAUACUGCCGUGCUUGAGGACUGGAGAGGAGACUGGAAUUUACGGUGUAGCGGUGAAAUGCGUAGAUAUCGUAAGGAAGACCAGUGGCGAAGGCGGGUCUCUGGACAGUUCCUGACGCUGAGGAACGAAAGCCAGGGGAGCGAACGGG